Molecule: transfer RNA, 60 nt
Filed under: Gordonia polyisoprenivorans
Lineage: Bacteria; Bacillati; Actinomycetota; Actinomycetes; Mycobacteriales; Gordoniaceae
Description: tRNA-Ser
Rfam family: tRNA
About the family: Transfer RNA (tRNA) molecules are approximately 80 nucleotides in length. Their secondary structure includes four short double-helical elements and three loops (D, anti-codon, and T loops). Further hydrogen bonds mediate the characteristic L-shaped molecular structure. tRNAs have two regions of fundamental functional importance: the anti-codon, which is responsible for specific mRNA codon recognition, and the 3' end, to which the tRNAs corresponding amino acid is attached (by aminoacyl-tRNA synthetases). tRNAs cope with the degeneracy of the genetic code in two manners: having more than one tRNA (with a specific anti-codon) for a particular amino acid; and 'wobble' base-pairing, i.e. permitting non-standard base-pairing at the 3rd anti-codon position.
Source: RNAcentral
GGGGCUAUGGCGCAGUUGGUAGCGCNNAGGUCAGGGGUUCGAUUCCCCUUAGCUCCACCA